CCGAGUACCGGGUCUUUUAGGCCCUUACUCCCACCCUUUGUGUACCUAUUAUACUGUUCGUUGCUUCGGCGAGGUUGAUCUCUAGGCUUCGCGGCCGUGGAGAGACUCGCCGAAGGGACACUUCUAAACUACUGUCAACUUUGCUGUCUGAGAACAAAUAAAUAAGUCA
This 169-nucleotide unclassified non-coding RNA is filed under the name uncultured Acanthostigma. RNAcentral's name for it is "sequence contains ITS1". The record is from RNAcentral. Lineage: Eukaryota; Fungi; Ascomycota; Dothideomycetes; Tubeufiales; Tubeufiaceae.